CCAACCCCAACGUCAUAUAUAUAUAUAUAAAGAGGACCUGUCUCAUAAGGAGUCAUAACCAUUCAACCGUAACAACAUACGCGAGCCGACAAGGCCGCCACUAUUCAAAGCAUAAUAACAUACGUAAGCCAACAAGGCUGCCACUACACAAUACACAAUGAUGUACGCAGCCGACAAGGCUGCCCCUGUACAAGCGGACAUCCCAAACAAACCAUGUCCAGACCAUUACCCAAAACAUAUAUUUACAACCCACAUAAUGUCCACAGACCUCUAAGAGUACAUUAGUGAAACUCGAUAGGACAGGGCCCCGCCAUACCCAUAGACGAGCAAAAGACAACACAAAAGUUAUGUACCAAAACGACUGGGCUCUGGAACAAUGGAGCUCUCCCAAUCAGCAGAGAAGAUAUCCUAGGCGAGAGGAUCACCGAACUGCGCGUCUACACCUGCGGGCAUGAAACGCAGCCCCCCGAGGAAAGGGGGGUCAGUACGGACAAUGCACUGAGUAUGUAAAGUAUAAGGUAAAGAUGACAGGAUACCAAUAUGGCAAGUCGAAACAAAAUAUCGCUACACAUGUACCCUUUUAAGUGAAAAUCAUGCAUAUCUUUAACAUAUAAGGUGCCCAACUUCCUUAGUAAGGGGCUCGGCAAAAUAAUCAUCACGUCAUCUCCGUCAUCAUCAUCAUCAUAACCAUCCUCAUCACCAAUCAUAUAUAUAAUAUACAUACCCGUCCCUCUAGUGAGGAACUCAGUGACAUAGGCAAGAAACUCCGCACGAACAUUACCCGGCCCGGGACUCAGUGAAAUGAUAAAUGACUCUAUGCACGAGCAGAAUAUUAUGAGCAACCAUAUGCAAUUAAAAUCAUUUCUUAUAACUCAAUAGAACAAACAACAUGAACCAGCAAGGAGUAUUACCAAAGAUUAAUGUUUUAUCAAGAUUAUGAACCUUUAAUACGAUAUGGAAACGUAAAAUCUCAAUGACUCUAAGAAGCACUAACAUAGAUAUGAGAGAUCAUCAUAGCCUUAGACAUAGCUGAUAUAUAGAGGAAUAAUUGUGGAAGCAAGAAUAUACGUCACCUAGACGCUCUAGAGGAAAGUAUCAAACCUGUCCGUUAUUCGCUUUAUUUUAAUAGUCAUGCCAAACAAGGAAAGAAGUGACAGCGUUACAUACCAUAUAAUCGAGCCGCACGUCCAAUAUUUACUGCUCAAGCUAUUAAUCUAUAACAAGAAACAAUCGUGCCGCAAUUAGAUAAACAUCGCGCUUUACUUUCUUGUAAGCUAGCUAAUAAUCUAACGAAAAUUCGGCAGCACUUCCCCUAUUUUCCUUACUUCGUCCCAAUCCGACAACAACCCAAAUUAUCCACAGCAAUACCAAUAACACAUAUAUCCCAACGAAUCUUAUUAAACAGCCCCCUCCCCAAAACAGUUUCAUCUCGGCAACCAUAGCAGUGAAGCAACGACACACCAAGCGAUAACUUGUUAUAUAAUUCGCAACACAUCUACCUUAUUGUAUUCAUCCUUUGGAGUAUAUACUCAUAAUCACAUUGAACAUAUACAUAACACCAAUACAGAAUUUUCCUGCAGUUUGCUUUAAUCAAAACAGCCCAAGCACCAACACGACACCACUAAUAAUCCGAUUAUGGUUUCCGUUUAUACUUAGCACAUUCAAUAACUAAAACAAACUUCCUAAGCUACUGGUCACACCCCCUUCUUAAAAUUAAUGGAUAAUUAACAAAGGUAUUCUAAAGAAUUAACACACCAAACAAGGAGAUUACUAACCAAAUUAUUUGCUGCUACUGGCCAAGAGUUGCAGGGUUGGUUUCUCUAUUUCCAUGGCUGCCUAAGACAAGUGGUGAAGAAGAUGAUGAUAUGCAGCAAUGCAUUUCACCACUUUAUUUAGCAUGGAGUGGAUUUCUCCACCUCAUUUAUUAGUAUGAAGUGGAGGCAGCCCCCCU
Molecule: long non-coding RNA, 1951 nt
Filed under: Solanum lycopersicum (tomato)
Lineage: Eukaryota; Viridiplantae; Streptophyta; Magnoliopsida; Solanales; Solanaceae
Description: long non-coding RNA (SLYC_LNC000923)
Source: RNAcentral